GCACUUUUUAUCAUGGCUUCAAAUACUCCCCCGAAAUGUGGGCUAGCUGGAGGGUUGAAAUGCCAUUCGAUGUGAGAGAAUCGCGAACUGUCCCGAACAAUCUUCUCUUGGUCUAAUUGUUCAACAAGUUCUCUCAGUUCUCGUUCUCCUGAAACGAAGUUGGUACCGUUAUCUGAUACAACGUACGAAGGCAUCCCCCUCCGUGACACCAUCCGGGCGAAUGCAUUCAUAAACGAAUCUGUGUCUAAUGCAUAGGCCAUUUCCAAAUGUACCGCGCGUGUCACGAGACAAGUAAAUAAACAGAGAUAUCUUUUUGCUCUACUCUUGCCGCGACCUUGUUUUGUCAGGUAUGGGCCUCCGUAGUCUACUCCUACUCGACAGAAGGCUUUCAUCGAUGAAAUUACUCUUGGUCUCGGCAGCGGUGCCAUCAUUUGACCAAUAGGUUUAGCAGUAAAGCGUUUCUUACACACUUGGCAAUGAUUAAGAAUUUUACGUACUACAGCCCGUCCUCUUAUCACCCAAAACCUACUACGUAAUUCGGAAAGAGUGUGUUCUACUCCAGAACCAUGUCCGAGUUGUUC
This is a non-coding RNA of Paramuricea clavata, 581 nucleotides long. NCBI's taxonomy places the organism in Eukaryota, Metazoa, Cnidaria, Anthozoa, Malacalcyonacea, Plexauridae. The record is from the annotation of a GenBank genome assembly.